Molecule: ribosomal RNA, 555 nt
Filed under: Acetobacter malorum
Lineage: Bacteria; Pseudomonadati; Pseudomonadota; Alphaproteobacteria; Acetobacterales; Acetobacteraceae
Description: bacterial LSU rRNA
Rfam family: Bacterial large subunit ribosomal RNA
Source: RNAcentral
GCGUACACGGUGGAUGCCUAGGCAGUCAGAGGCGAUGAAGGGCGUGCUAAUCUGCGAAAAGCGUCGGCAAGGUGAUAUGAACCGUUAUACCCGACGAUACCCGAAUGGGGAAACCCAGUGCAAUCCGUUGCACUAUCGCAACAUGAAUACAUAGUGUUGCGAGGCGAACCGGGGGAACUGAAACAUCUCAGUACCCCGAGGAAAAGAAAUCAACCGAGAUUCCCCUAGUAGCGGCGAGCGAACGGGGAGGAGCCCAGAACCUGAAUCAGUUUGUGUCUUAGUGGAAGCGUCUGGAAAGUCGCACGACAGAGGGUGAUAGUCCCGUACACGAAGAGGCAUGGAUUGUGAGUUCGAUGAGUAGGGCGGGACACGUGUUAUCCUGUCUGAAUAUGGGGGGACCAUCCUCCAAGGCUAAAUACUCCUGACUGACCGAUAGUGAACCAGUACCGUGAGGGAAAGGCGAAAAGAACCCCGGCGAGGGGAGUGAAAUAGAACCUGAAACCGUGUACGUACAAGCAGUGGGAGCCUUGAUUAAUCAGGGUGACUGCGUACCUU